This 253-nucleotide ribosomal RNA is filed under the name uncultured bacterium. Its description in RNAcentral is "partial 16S ribosomal RNA". It matches the Rfam family "Bacterial small subunit ribosomal RNA", at positions 524 to 776 of the family's 1533-position model. The record is from RNAcentral.
UACAGAGGUCUCAAGCGUUGUUCGGAUUCAUUGGGCGUAAAGGGUGUGUAGGUGGCGCCGUAAGUCGGGUGUGAAAUCUCGGGGCUUAACUCCGAAACUGCAUUCGAUACUGCGGUGCUUGAGGACUGGAGAGGAGACUGGAAUUCAUGGUGUAGAAGUGAAAUGCGUAGAGAUCAUGAGGAAGACCAGUGGCGAAGGCGGGUCUCUGGACAGUUCCUGACACUGAGACACGAAGGCCAGGGGAGCAAACGGG